RNAcentral lists this ribosomal RNA (253 nucleotides) under uncultured bacterium. Its description in RNAcentral is "partial 16S ribosomal RNA". It matches the Rfam family "Bacterial small subunit ribosomal RNA", at positions 524 to 776 of the family's 1533-position model. The record is from RNAcentral.
UACGGAGGGUGCAAGCGUUGUCCGGAUUUAUUGGGUUUAAAGGGUGCGUAGGUGGCCCGUUAAGUCCGGGGUGAAAGCCCACUGCUCAACAGUGGAACUGCCUUGGAAACUGGACGGCUUGAGUACAGACGAGGGCGGCGGAAUGGAUGGUGUAGCGGUGAAAUGCAUAGAUACCAUCCAGAACCCCGAUUGCGAAGGCAGCUGCCUAGACUGUAACUGACGCUGAGGCACGAAAGCGUGGGGAGCGAACAGG